CAAUAGCGUAUAUUAAAGUUGUUGCGGUAAAAAAGCUCGUAGUAGGAUUUCUACCGAAGAUAGCCGGUCGGGUCUUCGACCUUGUAUCUGGUUUUGUCUUUGGUAUCCUCAUAGGGAACGUUUCUGCGCUUUAUUGCGUGGUGCGGUAUCUAUGACUUUUACUUUGAGGAAAUUAGAGUGUUCACGGCAGGCAAACGCCUUGAAUAUAUUAGCAUGGAAUAAUAACAUAGGAUCUUCGUCCUAUUUUGUUGGUUUCUAGGGCUAAGAUAAUGAUUAAUAGGGAUAAUUGGGGGCAUCUGUAUCAACGCGUCAGAGGUGGAAUUCUUGGAUUGCGUUGCGACAAACUACUGCGAAAGCAUUUGCCAAGGAUGUUUUCAUUGA
RNAcentral lists this ribosomal RNA (381 nucleotides) under uncultured eukaryote. RNAcentral describes it as "partial 18S ribosomal RNA". It matches the Rfam family "Eukaryotic small subunit ribosomal RNA", at positions 592 to 976 of the family's 1831-position model. The record is from RNAcentral.